GGGUGCGAUCAUACCAGCACUAAUGCACCGGAUCCCAUCAGAACUAACGUGCUUGGGCGAGAGUAGUACUAGGAUGGGUGACCUCCUGGGAAGUCCUCGUGUUGCACCCC
This 110-nucleotide ribosomal RNA is filed under the name Salix viminalis (osier). The record is from RNAcentral. Lineage: Eukaryota; Viridiplantae; Streptophyta; Magnoliopsida; Malpighiales; Salicaceae.